This 957-nucleotide long non-coding RNA is filed under the name Marmota monax (woodchuck). Lineage: Eukaryota; Metazoa; Chordata; Mammalia; Rodentia; Sciuridae. The record is from RNAcentral.
GGGAGCCCAGAGCAGAGGUCCCCUAAACCCCUCCACUGGAUGAGGCCCCAGUGCCCUUGGCCACCAUGAAGGUCAGUGCCUGGGGCUAUGAGACAGGGCAGGGUGCAUGUCUAUGCCACAGUGCUCCCUUCCCUGAGGGUCCAAGCUGGGGUCAGAAGAGGGGCUGCAGCUGUGUCCUCGGGGUGACCCCCACACCAGGCCAGGCGGGGUCCAGGGGCUUCUGAGGGACCUCAGGAGGCAGCUGUCCUGGCAGGCACGGGGGGUGGCCAGCGUGUUUGCAGGUUGUGGAGCCAGGCCUGGUUUCCCUCCAGCAGUGUCCUGGCCAGUGAUAAGCUGGUUGCCUGUGAAGGCCGGCAAACUUGAAAGGACGGCUGGGUCUGACACCCUCGGGUGUGACCGUUCCCCCUCCCAGCCUUCCCGGCUUCAAAGGGGUGUUGAAGGCCGGUCUGCAGCUGUCCCCAAGGGAGGGGCCUGAGGUGACUGCUGGGCACAGGGUGCUGUGUGAGGCGGAAAUGAGGGGGCAUGUGUCAGUUCCACCCCUGGACCUGUGGAAGUGCCCAGCAAGGGGUCAAAGCCUAUCCCCAGGCCUAAGAUGGAGACACAGGAGACCUGUGAUACAGAGGAGGGAGCACGGGGCGGGGGCCCCUCACAGCAUGGACGUGGCUGAGGGACAUGGGGGUCCAAUGUCGAACAGGGAGGGACCAGCCAGGGUGUCCCGAGCUCCUGGGUGUCAGCCAUGGGAACUGGUCCGCCCAGUCCCUGGGCAGGACAAGGACCUGGCCUACAAAAUGGACACCAGUGCAGGCCCAGGCUGUGAGGCUGGACCCCAUGAAGUGGGCUGGCUUAGGAGACAGGUAGGGCCAGGAGGCUGGGCUCCUGGGGGCUGGCAGCUGCUCCGGGAGGGUCUAUGGAGUGCAGCGAGUGGGGUGCAGGGCCAAGGCUGCUCGGUGCAGGGCC